GUAACACGUGGGCAAUCUGCCCUGCACUCUGGGACAAGCCCUGGAAACGGGGUCUAAUACCGGAUAUGACCACCGGCCGCAUGGUCUGGUGGUGGAAAGCUCCGGCGGUGCAGGAUGAGCCCGCGGCCUAUCAGCUUGUUGGUGGGGUGAUGGCCUACCAAGGCGACGACGGGUAGCCGGCCUGAGAGGGCGACCGGCCACACUGGGACUGAGACACGGCCCAGACUCCUACGGGAGGCAGCAGUGGGGAAUAUUGCACAAUGGGCGCAAGCCUGAUGCAGCGACGCCGCGUGAGGGAUGACGGCCUUCGGGUUGUAAACCUCUUUCAGCAGGGAAGAAGCGCGAGUGACGGUACCUGCAGAAGAAGCACCGGCUAACUACGUGCCAGCAGCCGCGGUAAUACGUAGGGUGCGAGCGUUGUCCGGAAUUAUUGGGCGUAAAGAGCUCGUAGGCGGCCUGUCGCGUCGGAUGUGAAAGCCCGGGGCUUAACCCCGGGUCUGCAUUCGAUACGGGCAGGCUAGAGUUCGGCAGGGGAGAUUGGAAUUCCUGGUGUAGCGGUGAAAUGCGCAGAUAUCAGGAGGAACACCGGUGGCGAAGGCGGAUCUCUGGGCCGAUACUGACGCUGAGGAGCGAAAGCGUGGGGAGCGAACAGGAUUAGAUACCCUGGUAGUCCACGCCGUAAACGUUGGGCACUAGGUGUGGGCGGCAUUCCACGUCGUCCGUGCCGCAGCUAACGCAUUAAGUGCCCCGCCUGGGGAGUACGGCC
RNAcentral lists this ribosomal RNA (766 nucleotides) under Streptomyces cacaoi. RNAcentral's name for it is "bacterial SSU rRNA". It matches the Rfam family "Bacterial small subunit ribosomal RNA", at positions 110 to 887 of the family's 1533-position model. The record is from RNAcentral. Lineage: Bacteria; Bacillati; Actinomycetota; Actinomycetes; Kitasatosporales; Streptomycetaceae.